This 763-nucleotide ribosomal RNA is filed under the name uncultured Streptococcus sp. RNAcentral describes it as "bacterial SSU rRNA". It matches the Rfam family "Bacterial small subunit ribosomal RNA", at positions 28 to 776 of the family's 1533-position model. Lineage: Bacteria; Bacillati; Bacillota; Bacilli; Lactobacillales; Streptococcaceae. The record is from RNAcentral.
GACGAACGCUGGCGGCGUGCCUAAUACAUGCAAGUAGAACGCUGAAGGAGGAGCUUGCUUCUCCGGAUGAGUUGCGAACGGGUGAGUAACGCGUAGGUAACCUGCCUGGUAGCGGGGGAUAACUAUUGGAAACGAUAGCUAAUACCGCAUAAGAGUAGAUGUUGCAUGACAUUUGCUUAAAAGGUGCAAUUGCAUCACUACCAGAUGGACCUGCGUUGUAUUAGCUAGUUGGUGGGGUAACGGCUCACCAAGGCGACGAUACAUAGCCGACCUGAGAGGGUGAUCGGCCACACUGGGACUGAGACACGGCCCAGACUCCUACGGGAGGCAGCAGUAGGGAAUCUUCGGCAAUGGACGGAAGUCUGACCGAGCAACGCCGCGUGAGUGAAGAAGGUCUUCGGAUCGUAAAGCUCUGUUGUAAGAGAAGAACGAGUGUGAGAGUGGAAAGUUCACACUGUGACGGUAUCUUACCAGAAAGGGACGGCUAACUACGUGCCAGCAGCCGCGGUAAUACGUAGGUCCCGAGCGUUGUCCGGAUUUAUUGGGCGUAAAGCGAGCGCAGGCGGUUAGAUAAGUCUGAAGUUAAAGGCUGUGGCUUAACCAUAGUACGCUUUGGAAACUGUUUAACUUGAGUGCAAGAGGGGAGAGUGGAAUUCCAUGUGUAGCGGUGAAAUGCGUAGAUAUAUGGAGGAACACCGGUGGCGAAAGCGGCUCUCUGGCUUGUAACUGACGCUGAGGCUCGAAAGCGUGGGGAGCAAACAGG